Molecule: long non-coding RNA, 375 nt
Filed under: Gossypium raimondii (Peruvian cotton)
Lineage: Eukaryota; Viridiplantae; Streptophyta; Magnoliopsida; Malvales; Malvaceae
Description: long non-coding RNA (GRAI_LNC010046)
Source: RNAcentral
AAUAAAUCAUCCAAAAAUGCAUCAAGAAUGGGAUUAAAAACAUGUUACUUUUAUGCCUUAUCAAUGGGCUUCAAGAUGACAAUGUCCAAUAAAACCAUUAUCCAUGUAGCACAUGUGGGCUAAAUAAGGGCUAGAACUUGUGCGGGUGAUAGGACCAGAAGAAACUGAUCUCAUAUGUCUAGGUCCAGAGUGAGAAGCAACACCAGUAGAAUCCUCAUAGGAAUCGUCAUAGCGAUAACAACACCCGUGAGCCAUAUGACCAAUUUUUCCACACUAUGGUGGAGGUUGACUGUUAUAGGCAGGAAGCGACGUUGUGUCUUUCUCAGUUACAACAAGAUUUGCAGUAACAGGAACCUAGGAGAAAUUAGCCUGGUG